RNAcentral lists this ribosomal RNA (459 nucleotides) under uncultured bacterium. RNAcentral's name for it is "partial 16S ribosomal RNA". It matches the Rfam family "Bacterial small subunit ribosomal RNA", at positions 338 to 795 of the family's 1533-position model. The record is from RNAcentral.
CCUACGGGAGGCAGCAGUGAGGAAUAUUGGUCAAUGGGCGGGAGCCUGAACCAGCCAAGCCGCGUGAGGGAAGAAGGUCCAGCGUAUCGUAAACCUCUUUUGUCAGGGAACAAAGGCGGGGACUAGUCCCCGGAUGAGGGUACCUGAAGAAAAAGGAUCGGCUAACUCCGGGCCAGCAGCCGCGGUAAUACGGAGGAUGCGAGCGUUAUCCGUAUUUAUUGGGUUUAAAGGGUGCGCAGGGGGCUUGUUAAGUCAGCGGUAAAAGCCCGGGGCGAAACCCGGGAGAGCCGUUGAAACUGGGGGGCUGGAGUUGGAGAGAGGUACGCGGAAUGCGCGGUGUAGCGGUGAAAUGCUUAGAUAUCGCGAAGAACCCCGAUUGCGAAGGCAGCGUACCGGCUCGAAACUGACGCUGAGGCACGAAAGCGUGGGUAUCGAACAGGAUUAGAUACCCUGGUAGUC